GACGCUCUCCCCAAGGACGAAGCCAUGCAUGCCCGCUCACCCGGGACGCGGCGGACGGCUCAGGACGACGGUUGCACCCCCCGCGGCGGUCCCUGCUAGCCGGACACCGCUGGCAAC
Molecule: ribosomal RNA, 117 nt
Filed under: Giardia duodenalis
Lineage: Eukaryota; Fornicata; Diplomonadida; Hexamitidae
Description: Giardia intestinalis partial 18S ribosomal RNA
Source: RNAcentral